AUGCCGCCUAUUACUCUAAAGAGGGUCACAUCCAUUCAGCAACACAUGGAGAUAAUGCCUUAUUGCGCGGGGGUUCUGGUGCCUGCUACUGUUGUAACCCAUCGUUGCUCUCUAGUGUCAGACAGCUUGUGUCCUCCACGGGCUCUUGGCUUCUCUGAGCGAUCUGUCGUAAGGAAGAGUAGCAAAGAAAGAGUUUUUCAGCUGGCAGUUAAUGAAGAGCACAAUGAAUGUCACAGUCAAGAACAGAAAGAAAAACAGGAUGAUUUCCAAAUACUCUCUGGAUGAUUCUCAGCAGCUCCACUUUCUGAAAAUGCCUGAUUCAAGGAUGAAAAUUGUCCUUCGAGUUAUGAGAAAGAAACACAACCCAGCACUGCCCUUCCUCAAGUAACCUGCAAACAAUUGCAGAAGCAUUGCUGCAUUUUGCUUCACAAGUGGUGUACUUGUACUCAUUGCCACACGUAUUGAGAGAAGUUUCUUUGUAAGAAGUAAGUGACAUAUAAUAAGUAACUCCUCUCUGAGCUUGCAGGAACCUCAGCAUCUUCCAUGGCAGCAGAGCCAAGUAGUGACAUCCUGUUCACCUGCGUUCUCACCAAGGAAUUUUACGGAACUCCUUGACCACGAGGUGACUCUGUGGCUCUGUGAUGGAGGGACGAUAACCAGAUCCCUUUUGGUCCCACUGCUCUGGGCUUCUCAUGGUCAGCCAUAAGGGUGAGAAAAGGUGCAAGAAGAAGAGAGUUUGGGAUAGACAAGGAAUUUUUUCCUAGCACCAUCCAGGGCCAUCUUGAUCCUCUAGAACUGGGUGUUCAUCCAAUACCCGGUUGGCUGGGUUAAAAAGUCUGGUGUGGUAUGCAAAAGCAAGUGAAGGGCACUGGGUUAUAGCUCAAACCACAGUCUACCAUGGGAGUUCAUUUGUCAAUAGUGGGUCACAUGCUGCUUGCUUCCUUAUUUUGAGCUGUUCCUUACUCUGCAGUUGAGUUCAUUGAUUUCAUCAGGGCUACUCACACUGUUAUGUACAAACUGUUGUAAGUAAGGAUAAAACAAUUGUACCCUAAUCCCCCAACUGUGUUUCAGACCUCUUUGUCCAUCCCCUAAAAUUUUGAUGUCAUCUAAUCAGGCUGAAAAAAUGAAUUGUGUAAAAAAUCUUGGACUUAGCUAUAAGACUUAUAUAUAUAUAAAAAAUAUAAGUAUAUAUAUAAAAUAACUAUGAAACUAUCUCUCAAAAUGCUGCAGACUCACUUUUCAAUAUGCAAUUUUCAUUCUAUUGAAUUUUUUGACAUAUGGUUAUGUAAAGCAUCUAAUAGCAAACUCUAUCCAUUUCCACCUUCCAGAAGGCAGUAACUUCAGGAGUUAAUGUGAGAUUAUUUUUAGCAUGUAUUCAAGUUUAUUCAUGCUGAAAGGUGGUACUUAUCUUUUGUAAUUUUAGAGUAGUUAUUUGAAUAAAAACAUGAGUGUGGUUCUAUUUUAACUGCCAUGUGACAUUUGGGAGCUAGUUAAAACCUCACCCAAGAUGCAAAAAUCUCAACAUUUUUAAUUUGCAACGUCUCAGUGGUACACAAAAUACCUGUACAUGUGUUUGGACCUAUGUCUGUAAAUGCAUAAGAUAUGAGUAAUCUCCUUUAUGCUAAGAGAAUAUUAUACCAUAAACAAUGAAAACAUCCAUCGGCCAG
This 1667-nucleotide long non-coding RNA is filed under the name Strigops habroptila (Kakapo). RNAcentral's name for it is "lncRNA (ENSSHBG00005007647.1)". Lineage: Eukaryota; Metazoa; Chordata; Aves; Psittaciformes; Psittacidae. The record is from RNAcentral.